RNAcentral lists this ribosomal RNA (849 nucleotides) under Triticum aestivum (bread wheat). RNAcentral describes it as "partial small subunit ribosomal RNA". The record is from RNAcentral. Lineage: Eukaryota; Viridiplantae; Streptophyta; Magnoliopsida; Poales; Poaceae.
AUGGCGACCUCCACCGCCUCCUCCUCCUCCCUCACCGCCCCUCUCCUUGGCCCCAAACCCAGCCCGAAUCCGCCCCCCAGAUCCCUCCCGCUCCUCAGGAGUCGGAGGUGCGCUCGGUCCGUGGCCGCCUCUGCCGGCGGCGGCGGAGUGGGACUCCACGGGGCUGCUCACAGGCGCGGGAUUUGGUCGAUCAGGGAUGACUUGCUGAUGCCUAGGUCGCCCUACUUCCCAGUGGAGGCCGCGGGGCAGGAGCGCGGGCCCUCCCCCAUGGUGAUGGAGCGGUUCCAGAGCGUCGUCAGCCAGCUCUUUCAGCACAGAAUUAUCCGAUGCGGCGGUCCUGUGGAGGAUGAUAUGGCCAACGUCAUUGUUGCGCAGCUGCUAUACCUGGACGCCGUUGAUCCUAACAAGGAUAUCAUUAUGUAUGUGAACUCUCCAGGAGGGUCAGUGACAGCUGGGAUGGCCAUAUUUGAUACAAUGAAGCAUAUCAGGCCUGAUGUUUCCACAGUUUGUAUCGGACUUGCUGCAAGUAUGGGUGCUUUCCUACUCAGCGGCGGGACGAAAGGGAAGAGGUACAGCUUACCUAACUCAAGAAUAAUGAUCCAUCAGCCUCUUGGAGGAGCCCAAGGACAAGAGACCGACCUUGAGAUCCAGGCCAAUGAGAUGCUGCACCACAAGGCCAACUUGAACGGAUACCUAGCAUACCACACUGGGCAGCCCCUGGAUAAGAUCAAUGUAGAUACUGACCGUGACUUCUUCAUGAGCGCGAAAGAGGCGAAGGAGUAUGGCCUUAUCGACGGAGUAAUUGUGAAUCCUCUUAAAGCACUUCAACCACUUCCAGCUUCCAGUUAG